GACGAACGCUGGCGGCGUGCUUAACACAUGCAAGUCGAACGGAAAGGCCCUGCUUGUGUGGGGUGCUCGAGUGGCGAACGGGUGAGUAACACGUGAGUAACCUGCCCUUGACUUUGGGAUAACUUCAGGAAACUGGUGCUAAUACCUGAUAGGAGCUCCUGCUGCAUGGUGGGGGUUGGAAAGUUUCGGCGGUUGGGGAUGGACUCGCGGCUUAUCAGCUUGUUGGUGGGGUAGUGGCUUACCAAGGCUUUGACGGGUAGCCGGCCUGGGAGGGUGACCGGCGACAAUGGGACUGAGAUACGGCCCAGACUCCUACGGGAGGCAGCAGUGGGGAAUAUUGCACAAUGGGCGGAAGCCUGAUGCAGCAACGCCGCGUGCGGGAUGAAGGCCUUCGGGUUGUAAACCGCUUUCGCCUGUGACGAAGCGUGAGUGACGGUAAUGGGUAAAGAAGCACCGGCUAACUACGUG
This 468-nucleotide ribosomal RNA is filed under the name uncultured bacterium. Its description in RNAcentral is "partial 16S ribosomal RNA". It matches the Rfam family "Bacterial small subunit ribosomal RNA", at positions 28 to 507 of the family's 1533-position model. The record is from RNAcentral.